GCCUAUGUAGCUCAGCUGGUAGAGCGCAUCCUUGGUAAGGAUGAGGUCUCCGGUUCAAAUCCGGACAUAGGCUCCA
Molecule: transfer RNA, 76 nt
Filed under: Lentisphaeria bacterium
Lineage: Bacteria; Pseudomonadati; Lentisphaerota; Lentisphaeria
Description: tRNA-Thr
Rfam family: tRNA
About the family: Transfer RNA (tRNA) molecules are approximately 80 nucleotides in length.
Source: RNAcentral